Molecule: ribosomal RNA, 406 nt
Filed under: uncultured bacterium
Lineage: Bacteria
Description: partial 16S ribosomal RNA
Rfam family: Bacterial small subunit ribosomal RNA
Source: RNAcentral
AUUGAACGCUGGCGGCAGGCCUAACACAUGCAAGUCGAACGAGUGGCGGACGGGUGGGUAAUGUCUGGGAAACUGCCCGAUGGAGGGGGAUAACUACUGGAAACGGUAGCGAAUACCGCAUACCCUCGGAUGUGCCCAGAUGGGAUUGGCUAGUAGGUGGGGUAACGGCUCACCUAGGCGACGAUCCCUAGCUGGUCUGAGAGGAUGACCAGCCACACUGGAACGUAGACACGGUCCAGACUCCUACGGGAGGCAGCAGUGGGUAAUAUUGCAAAAUGGGCGCAAUCCUGAUGCAGCCAUGCCGCGUGUAUGAAGAAGGCCUUCGGGUUGUAAAGUACUUUCAGCGAGGAGGCGUUACUCGCAGAAGAAGCACCGGCUAACUCCGUGCCAGCAGCCGCGGUAAUUC